RNAcentral lists this ribosomal RNA (1392 nucleotides) under metagenome. Its description in RNAcentral is "bacterial LSU rRNA". It matches the Rfam family "Bacterial large subunit ribosomal RNA", at positions 1552 to 2925 of the family's 2925-position model. The record is from RNAcentral.
CUCUCUGAGACGUGAUACCGAGCCGCUUCAGGCGAAGUCAUUGAUCCUAUGCUGCCUAGAAAAGCCCAGCAGCGAGUUGACAUGGUGCCCGUACCCCAAACCAACACAGGUGGACAGGUAGAGCAUACCAAGGCGAGUGGGAUAACUAUGGUUAAGGAACUCGGCAAAUUGCCUCCGUAACUUCGGGAGAAGGAGGACCCCAGUAGCGUGAUGAGACUUGCUCUCUGAGCGUGAAGGGGUGGCACAAAAUUGAGGGAAGCGACUGUUUACCAAAAACACAGCAGCGUGCUAAGCCGUAAGGCGCUGUAUACGCUGUGACUCCUGCCCGGUGCUGGAAGGUUACGGGGAUGGGUUAGUCCUUCGGGACGAAGCUCUGAACCUAAGCCCCAGUAAACGGCGGCCGUAACUAUAACGGUCCUAAGGUAGCGAAAUUCCUUGUCGGGUAAGUUCCGACCUGCACGAAUGGAGUAACGACUUCCCUACUGUCUCAACCAUAGACCCAGCGAAAUUGAAGUACGAGUAAAGAUGCUCGUUAGCUGCAGAAGGACGGAAAGACCCCGUGGACCUUUACUAUAACUUGAUGUUGUGUUUUGUCAUAUGUUGUGUAGGAUAGGUGGGAGACUUGGAAGCAUGGACGCUAGUCUGUGUGGAGUCAUCGUUGAAAUACCACCCUGCAUAUGGUGAGGCUCUAACCUAGACCCGUUAUCCGGGUUGGGGACAGCGUCAGGCGGGUAGUUUAACUGGGGCGGUUGCCUCCUAAAGAGUAACGGAGGCGCCCAAAGGUUCCCUCAGCCUGGUUGGCAAUCAGGCGUUGAGUGCAAUGGCAAAAGGGAGCUUGACUGCGAGACCUACAAGUCGAGCAGGAGCGAAAGCUGGGCAUAGUGAUCCGGCGGUUGCGUGUGGAAGCGCCGUCGCUCAACGGAUAAAAGGUACCCCGGGGAUAACAGGCUAAUCUUGCCCAAGCGUCCAUAGCGACGGCAAGGUUUGGCACCUCGAUGUCGGCUCAUCGCAUCCUGGGGCUGAAGCAGGUCCCAAGGGUUGGGCUGUUCGCCCAUUAAAGCGGUACGCGAGCUGGGUUCAGAACGUCGUGAGACAGUUCGGUCCCUAUCCUCUGCAGCCGGAGGUGAAUUGAGGAAAGCUGUCCCUAGUACGAGAGGACCGGGACGGACGCAGCUCUCGUGUGCCAGUUGUCCUGCCAAGGGCAUGGCUGGUUAGCGACCUGCGGAAAGGAUAACCGCUGAAAGCAUCUAAGCGGGAAGCCUCUUCCAAGAUGAAUUCACCCACAGGGUUAACCUGGUAAGGCCCGUGGUAGACCACCACGUUGAUAGGCCGGAAGUGUAAGCGUGGCAACACGUUCAGCUGACCGGUACUAAUCGGCCGAGGGCUUGAGUC